CACGUAGUUAGCCGGUGCUUCUUAUCUACCUACCGUCACCCGGUAGGCUUCGUCGAUAGCGAAAGGAGUUUACAACCCGAAGGCCUUCAUCCCCCACGCGGCGUCGCUGCAUCAGGCUUGCGCCCAUUGUGCAAUAUUCCCCACUGCUGCCUCCCGUAGGAGUCUGGGCCGUAUCUCAGUCCCAAUGUGUCCGUACACCCUCUCAGGCCGGAUACCCGUCGCCGCCUUGGUAGGCCAUUACCUCACCAACAAGCUGAUAGGCCGCGAGUCCAUCCUUGACCGAAAUUCUUUCCACAACCAGACGAUGCCGUCAGUUGUCAUAUCCGGUAUUAGACGCCGUUUCCAGCGCUUAUCCCAGAGUCAAGGGCAGGUUACUCACGUGUUACUCACCCGUUCGCCACUAAUCCCCGGAACAAGCUCCGGUUCAUCGUUCGACUUGCAUGUGUUAAGCACGCCGCCAGCGUCGUCUCGUAGCCACGGACUCGAAACUACU
Molecule: ribosomal RNA, 493 nt
Filed under: uncultured Microbacteriaceae bacterium
Lineage: Bacteria; Bacillati; Actinomycetota; Actinomycetes; Micrococcales; Microbacteriaceae
Description: partial 16S ribosomal RNA
Source: RNAcentral